CGGUAAGGCCCUUCGGGGUAACGAGCGGCGAACGGGUGAGUAACACGUGGGUGGUCUGCCUUGCACUUCGGGAUAAGCCUGGGAAGCUGGGUCUAAUACCGGAUAUGACCUCGGAAUGCAUGUUCUGGGGUGGAAAGAUUUAUCGGUGCGAGAUGGGCCCGCGGCCUCUCAGCUUGUUGGUGAGGUAACGGCUCACCAAGGCGACGACGGGUAGCCGACCUGAGAGGGUGACCGGCCACACUGGGACUGAGACACGGCCCAGACUCCUACGGGAGGCAGCAGUGGGGAAUAUUGCACAAUGGGCGCAAGCCUGAUGCAGCGACGCCGCGUGCGGGAUGACGGCCUUCGGGCUGUAAACCGCUUUUGACAGGGACGAAGCGCAAGUGACUGUACCUGUAGAAUAAGGACCGGCCAACUACGUGCCAGCAGCCGCGGUAUACGUAGGGUCCGAGCGUUGUCCGGAAUUACUGGGCGUAAAGAGCUUGUAUGCGGUUCGUCGCGUCGUUUGUGAAAACUUGGGGCUCAACCUUAAGCUUGCAGGCGAUACGGGCGGACUAGAGUACUUCAGGGGAGACUGGAAUUCCUGGUGUAGCGGUGAAAUGCACAGAUAUCAGGAGGAACACCGGUGGCGAAGGCGGGUCUCUGGGAAGUAACUGACGCUGAGAAGCGAAAGCAUGGGUAGCAAACAGGAUUAGAUACCCUGGUAGUCCAUGCCGUACACGGUGGGUACUACGUGUGGAGCUCCUUCCACGGACUCCGUGCCGUAUCUAACGCAUUAAGUACCCCGCCUGGGGAGUACGGACCGCAGGCUAAAACUCAGAUGACUUGACGGUG
Molecule: ribosomal RNA, 834 nt
Filed under: uncultured Actinomycetes bacterium
Lineage: Bacteria; Bacillati; Actinomycetota; Actinomycetes
Description: bacterial SSU rRNA
Rfam family: Bacterial small subunit ribosomal RNA
Source: RNAcentral